AGAACUUGUACUACAUUUCGGCCUUUGAUCUUUAAACAUUGACUGUCAGCCCACACAUCCAUGUGCGGUGUUAUGCGGAGCUCACUUCUGGGGCACACAUCUCUCUGCUCUCCCUGUGGGAGGUGCACAGUCUACUGGAUUACUAACCAGAUGAAAAUUCAGAGCUGCCUGAUCAAAAGGUUUAAGGAGGAAAACCCCAGACAUUUUGGCUUUAUUUACAGUGUCACACAGUUUGGAAACAAUGAUAACAGUUGGCAUGAUUUAUCUUUUUUUUAUAAAUGAUUCUCAAAUAAGACGUCAGUCAACCUAAAAUGUGAUUACUGACGCCUGCACUAAACUGCCGUGGAUCAGAAAGUUCAAGUUUUCUAAGUGCGUAGUGACUCCUAGUGUUAGCACCUGUGGCCUUCCCUAUCUUUUAGACUGCUUGAGUGACUGUGGUGCAGGUGUCUCAUGCGCUGAGGUCAUUUACUGAUGUCAUGAGGCGAUGACUUCAGCUCUCUGUAGUCAUCUUUGUGUAAGCCAUUGCUCAUCCAUACAGGAGUGCAGACCCGCAGCACUAGCUCACUUAUUUCUGUCUCUGAGCUUUUCUGCAGUCUGUGAGGUUAUCGUUUGCUGCAGUGAGAGAGAGCAGGUGACCCCAAGUGGAGGGACGUGUGCUCUGACAAGGUCAUACUUGCCAGUGACUGUGGUUAUUCUUGGGACUGGAUGACAAGGUUUUCCUCCAUAAU
Molecule: long non-coding RNA, 728 nt
Filed under: Rattus norvegicus (Norway rat)
Lineage: Eukaryota; Metazoa; Chordata; Mammalia; Rodentia; Muridae
Description: long non-coding RNA NONRATT030736
Source: RNAcentral